GGAUCAGGUAGGGAUACCCGCUGAACUUAAGCAUAUCAAUAGGC
Molecule: ribosomal RNA, 44 nt
Filed under: Guignardia sp. ZJ8-7A
Lineage: Eukaryota; Fungi; Ascomycota; Dothideomycetes; Botryosphaeriales; Phyllostictaceae
Also listed under: 1 other name
Description: partial 28S ribosomal RNA
Source: RNAcentral